GACGAACGCUGGCGGCGUGCCUAAUACAUGCAAGUAGAACGCUGAAGGAGGAGCUUGCUUCUCUGGAUGAGUUGCGAACGGGUGAGUAACGCGUAGGUAACCUGCCUGGUAGCGGGGGAUAACUAUUGGAAACGAUAGCUAAUACCGCAUAAGAGUAGAUGUUGCAUGACAUUUGCUUAAAAGGUGCAAUUGCAUCACUACCAGAUGGACCUGCGUUGUAUUAGCUAGUUGGUGAGGUAACGGCUCACCAAGGCGACGAUACAUAGCCGACCUGAGAGGGUGAUCCGCCACACUGGGACUGAGACACGGCCCAGACUCCUACGGGAGGCAGCAGUAGGGAAGCUUCGGCAAUGGACGGAAGUCUGACCGAGCAACGCCGCGUGAGUGAAGAAGGUUUUCGGAUCGUAAAGCUCUGUUGUAAGAGAAGAACGAGUGUGAGAGUGGAAAGUUCACACUGUGACGGUAUCUGACCAGAAAGGGACGGCUAACUACGUG
RNAcentral lists this ribosomal RNA (495 nucleotides) under uncultured bacterium. RNAcentral's name for it is "partial 16S ribosomal RNA". It matches the Rfam family "Bacterial small subunit ribosomal RNA", at positions 28 to 507 of the family's 1533-position model. The record is from RNAcentral.